GAGGGUGUAGCUCAGUGGUAGAGUGUGUGUUUAGCACGCACAAGGUCCUGGGUUCAAUUCCCAGUACCUCUA
This 72-nucleotide transfer RNA is filed under the name Camelus ferus (Wild Bactrian camel). It matches the Rfam family "tRNA". Rfam says of the family: Transfer RNA (tRNA) molecules are approximately 80 nucleotides in length. Their secondary structure includes four short double-helical elements and three loops (D, anti-codon, and T loops). Further hydrogen bonds mediate the characteristic L-shaped molecular structure. tRNAs have two regions of fundamental functional importance: the anti-codon, which is responsible for specific mRNA codon recognition, and the 3' end, to which the tRNAs corresponding amino acid is attached (by aminoacyl-tRNA synthetases). tRNAs cope with the degeneracy of the genetic code in two manners: having more than one tRNA (with a specific anti-codon) for a particular amino acid; and 'wobble' base-pairing, i.e. permitting non-standard base-pairing at the 3rd anti-codon position. Lineage: Eukaryota; Metazoa; Chordata; Mammalia; Artiodactyla; Camelidae. The record is from Rfam by way of RNAcentral.